GAGCGAGAAAGGGUAGCAAUACCUGAGUAAAGCGGCGCACGGGUGAGUAACACGUGACUAACCUACCUCCGAGUGGGGAAUAACCUGGGGAAACCCGGGCUAAUACCGCAUAACACCUACGGGUCAAAGGAGCAAUUCGCUUGGAGAGGGGGUCGCGGCAGAUUAGCUAGUUGGCGGGGUAAUGGCCCACCAAGGCGAUGAUCUGUAUCCGGCCUGAGAGGGCGCACGGACACACUGGAACUGAAACACGGUCCAGACUCCUACGGGAGGCAGCAGUGGGGAAUUUUGCGCAAUGGGGGAAACCCUGACGCAGCAACGCCGCGUGGAGGAUGAAGUCCCUUGGGACGUAAACUCCUUUCGACCGGGACGAUGAUGACGGUACCGGAAGAAGAAGCCCCGGCUAACUUCGUGCCAGCAGCCGCGGUAAU
This 428-nucleotide ribosomal RNA is filed under the name uncultured bacterium. RNAcentral describes it as "bacterial SSU rRNA". It matches the Rfam family "Bacterial small subunit ribosomal RNA", at positions 64 to 524 of the family's 1533-position model. The record is from RNAcentral.